RNAcentral lists this ribosomal RNA (301 nucleotides) under uncultured bacterium. RNAcentral's name for it is "partial 16S ribosomal RNA". It matches the Rfam family "Bacterial small subunit ribosomal RNA", at positions 509 to 807 of the family's 1533-position model. The record is from RNAcentral.
CAGUCGCCGCGGUAAUACGUAGGGUGCGAGCGUUAAUCGGAAUUACUGGGCGUAAAGCGUGCGCAGGCGGUUAUGUAAGACAGGUGUGAAAUCCCCGGGCUUAACCUGGGAACUGCGCUUGUGACUGCACAGCUAGAGUAUGGCAGAGGGGGGUGGAAUUCCACGUGUAGCAGUGAAAUGCGUAGAGAUGUGGAGGAACACCGAUGGCGAAGGCAGCCCCCUGGGCCAAUACUGACGCUCAUGCACGAAAGCGUGGGGAGCAAACAGGAUUAGAUACCCCUGUAGUCCCUGUCUCUUAUAC